This 63-nucleotide transfer RNA is filed under the name Gromphadorhina portentosa (giant Madagascar hissing cockroach). Its description in RNAcentral is "tRNA-Asp". Lineage: Eukaryota; Metazoa; Arthropoda; Insecta; Blattodea; Blaberidae. The record is from RNAcentral. RNAcentral also lists the same sequence under 2 other names.
GAAGAUUUAGUUAAUAAAUAACAUUAGAGUGUCAAUCUAAAAUUAUCUUUAAGAUACUCUUCU